CCUACGGGUGGCAGCAGGGAGGAAUAUUGGUCAAUGGGCGAGAGCCGGAACCAGCAAAGUCGCGGGAAGGAUGACGGCCCUACGGGUGGUAAACUUCUUUUGUCAGGGAGCAACUGGGUCCACGCGUGGGCUUAUCGAGAGUACCUGAAGAAAAAGCAUCGGCUAACUCCGUGCCAGCAGCCGCGGUAAUACGGAGGAUGCGAGCGUUAUCCGGAUUUAGUGGGUUUAAAGGGUGCGUAGGCGGAAUAUCAAGUCAGCGGUAAAACUUCGGGGCUCAACCCCGUCGUGCCGUUGAAACUGGUGUUCUUGAGUGGGCGAGAAGUAUGCGGAAUGCGUGGUGUAGCGGUGAAAUGCAUAGAUAUCACGCAGAACUCCGAUUGCGAAGGCAGCAUACCGGCGCCCAACUGACGCUGAGGCACGAAAGCGUGGGUAUCGAACAGGAUUAGAUACCCUUGUAGUC
This 460-nucleotide ribosomal RNA is filed under the name uncultured bacterium. Its description in RNAcentral is "partial 16S ribosomal RNA". It matches the Rfam family "Bacterial small subunit ribosomal RNA", at positions 338 to 795 of the family's 1533-position model. The record is from RNAcentral.